AGUUAAUGAGCUUGAAAUUUAAGCAUAUAUUUUGAAAAUAUAAGAUAGAAUAAUUUCUAUUAACUU
RNAcentral lists this transfer RNA (66 nucleotides) under Frontopsylla spadix. RNAcentral describes it as "tRNA-Ser". Lineage: Eukaryota; Metazoa; Arthropoda; Insecta; Siphonaptera; Leptopsyllidae. RNAcentral also lists the same sequence under 2 other names. The record is from RNAcentral.